CCCCAAUAAUUCUGGGGACUGUAGAUUGUAAUUUGUGCGGUCGUUUUGCCUUUUAGGUGAAUAGUGAAUACAAGUUGAAGGUGGUAGGUAUUAAAUAUUAAUUGCAUUUAUUUUCUUUUUUGUAAAUUUUAUUUAUUUUAUCAUAAGUUACCAUGAUAUAUAUCUAUUCUAUAUAAAGUGUGUCUAUAUAAUUGAAAUUCUUGGUUUAUGAGAAAUUCAUGGUGAUUUUUAUUUUUAUUUAAUAAAAUAAUAAAAUAUUAUUUAUAUAUAAUAAAAUAAUAAUAAAACAAAUCUCAUUAAUAUUUGAACUGAUAUUUGAUCCUGAAUAUUAGAGAAUGAGAACCCAUUUAAAAAGAAAACAACCGGGGAUUUGAGGCAGCAGCCUAAUAGCGAAGCUCCUCAUAUACAUGUGAUGGUCGUCCAUCUCCAUUGCUGACAACUUGGUGAAUUUUCUAUCCAAUCAGGCAAUAACCACAAAAUCAAAGCUUUGUAGUCUAUUCUUGUUGCGAUAAAAGAUAUGUUGAUAGUGGCGAUAGUGGGGUAAACUUGUAUGCCUAUAAAGUGUUUGAUAUAAUUCUUCAAUGACUUCUUCAAAUUGCCUAGAGCAGCGGGUACCCAUACACCAACAAUACAAGCUCUAAAAGCCAUUGAAGCUGGGAAAUUGAAACUUAAACUUGGAGGUAAAAAUCUUCAAUUCUCAUAACCAAUCUUUACAAUUAAUCAAUAAAUUUAUGUUGGGGUUUCAAAUUUCAAUAUAUGUAGGAGUUGCAUUGGGAGAUAGUUGGAUAUCUCAUGAAGAUUUUGUGGUAAAAAAACUAUGAUCUGAAUUUUCAAUUUCUUUUUGAUUUUACAACUAUGGGAAUCAAGUCAUUUCAAUGUUUGAUUUUACAA
This is a long non-coding RNA of Cannabis sativa, 891 nucleotides long. RefSeq lists it as uncharacterized. The record is from RefSeq and is a predicted model, not a curated record. The transcript is spliced from 3 exons. NCBI's taxonomy places the organism in Eukaryota, Viridiplantae, Streptophyta, Magnoliopsida, Rosales, Cannabaceae.